UGAUGAUUUGAUAAGGAAGGUGAAGCAGACUGAGUCUAGAAAUUUCUGGUAAAAGACAGGUCUAAAGGUAGGCAUCCCAGUAAAGAAUUCUGUCAUCCAGGGCCAUGGAAGAGAGGAAGCUUCACCAGAAAUGAGGAGAAUAAGCAAGAGGUCACACACCAGCCUUUCAGUUCAUGAAGUUUCUCUCUAUUUCUGGAAUAAAAGCUUCCCUUGCCUAAAGAGCACUUCAACCAUGUCAACUCUGCAAGGAGAGAGCUGAUGGGACCGAUUUCUCUGCUGGAUGUUGUGAGCAAGACGGCAUAAAACUGACAAGCUCAAGAUUCAAAUGAAAUAUCCCAAUUAAAGUGCAGUUGAAAUGCAAAGACCAGUACCACUAGCAAUAUAUAUGCCAAGAACAAAGAACAGAGCGUAAAUGUGAUCAAUGUCAUGCAAGAAAGAAUUGACAUGUGGGGAAAGAAUUUCAAAUGAGGAGUUUUCAAUCUAUUGAAGAAAAAGAAAGGAGGGAGUAGACAAGGGUGGAGAUAAGAGUUAACAUAACCCUGCAGUUGACAUGACGUACUCUUCCUAAUAAAACAGCAUUGCAGUAUUUAGGCCCAGAGAACUUCUAAUAAGGAUUAACAGGAGAGAAAAAGAGGAGGGGAGUAAGCCACAUUAAUUUUGGAUUCCUGACACCAGUUAUGACUGACCUUCCCCAUUUCAGAACUCUUGUUGCAUCAGUAUUAGGUGGAUUAACACUUAACUCCUCUAUAUUAGAGCAUAAUUCAGAGACCUCUGCAGACUACUGUGGUUCAACUAUGGUUCACUUAAGCAGGAAAAGUAUUUACUGGAAGGAUAUUGGGAGCUAAUAAAACUGUCUAGAGGACAAGGCUUGGAAAACACAUAGAAAUUAAUGUUUGGAAGCACAAGAACACCUGAAUGAGAACCACGUCAGCUAAUGCAGACAGCUUAUCUGUGGGACCAAUGAAUCUCACCACCCCUCAGCAGUGCUUUUCAAUUUUUCUCAUCUGUGUCCCACAUUAAAUAUUUUACACAGUGUUAGAGAACACACACACCUUUAACCAAACCAUAUCAUUAAAACAGGACUUAUUCCUAUGUGCAAUGCAUUCUAAUAUCAUGCAUUCUCUUCUACUUCAUUUUUUAAAAGUGCUGUUUAUAACCCACUAAAUUGAUUUCAAGACCCACUAAGAGGUCGGGACCUGCAGUUUGAAAAACACUGCUCUAGAGAGACUGAUUCAGACCACAGUGUCACAGCUGAUAAGUAAAGUGAACGAGCCUGUGGAGGAGGUGAAGAGUAAAGAAAAUAAAGGACCAUUCUGCAUUUGCAAGGGGACAGAGUAUGAAGAAUGGAAUAUGAAGCUUGAACAUACAUCCUUUAUCAGCAGAGUGAAAUUAGCAUGACCCCAAUUUAAUACUAUACCAAAUAUCAACCCACACGCAUCACCGCUUGGCACCGAAGCACUGCAAAUCAUGACU
Non-coding RNA from Microcebus murinus (gray mouse lemur), 1473 nucleotides. NCBI's taxonomy places the organism in Eukaryota, Metazoa, Chordata, Mammalia, Primates, Cheirogaleidae. The record is from RefSeq and is a predicted model, not a curated record.